This is a long non-coding RNA of Gorilla gorilla gorilla (western lowland gorilla), 967 nucleotides long. RefSeq lists it as uncharacterized. Lineage: Eukaryota; Metazoa; Chordata; Mammalia; Primates; Hominidae. The transcript is spliced from 3 exons. The record is from RefSeq and is a predicted model, not a curated record.
AACAGCAAAUGGAAGACCCUGAGACAGGAGAGUGCCUGAUACACUCAAGUUCCAGCAAGAGUCCAUGGCAGCUAAGUCACAGUGAGCAAGGGGAACAAGGAUGAGAGAUGCAGUCAAAGAGGCCAUCGUGAGGGCUCUUGUCGGUUGGCCAUGGUGCCGGGAGCAAAGAGAUGAUUAAGACACCAUCCCAGGCCUCGAGCCCCACGAAACGCAGGGGAAGCGCCAUGCUAUGCAGCCAGCAAUCAUUUUACCUUUUAAGAGCUCUGAGAGAGACACCCACUGGAAAGGGGUGCAGAGGACCCCAGAGGAUCAACUAACCCAGUGUGGGAGGGUCAGGGAAAGCUUCAUAGAGGCCGUGACCCUUAGGGCAAAUCUUGAGAGGAAGAUGGCCAGGCAGAGGAAAUGGGAAAGUCUGUUCCAGCACCAUAUUUGCUAGAUUCUUGGCACUUUAUGUAUAGCAUCUCCUUUAAUCUUCACAACUACCCUGCUGCACAGCAUUUUAGAGGUGAGGAAACUAAGGCUGAGAGAGAUUAAGUUACUUGCCCAAGGGUACACAGAGACAAAGCCAGGACUAACUCAUAACAAAGUGGGUAGGUUUUAUUUGUUUGUUUUGCAUGUCAGAUUGCUUCUAGAAAUAACAGCAGGCUUCCUGUUAAUUCCAGGUGAGGUCCUGCUAUUUUAUAAUUGUGGUUUGUUCUUUCAGUGACAGGAGCAUGUGGUGUAUGGAUCCCACCUUACCCCAGUACUGUGCACUCCUCCCAAUGAUGGAGAGAUUGGGAGGGACCACCUGGCUAGGAUUGCUGGCUCUCCUGACACCUUCUCGUGGCAUCCAUGUGGUUUAUCCAGUUUUCUGAAAAUGAUACCUGCAAUAUAUCAGACAGAGGCUGAUCCAUUAGCUCAGGUUCAUCAGGUCCAGAAGGAAGAUGACAUGGACGGGAACCACAGCUGACCCAUAAUGGACAUUAAG